AUGCUAGUGAAAAACAAUCACCUUUCAGACAAGAUCAUUGUUUUGCCAGGAAAAACUGAAGACGUCUCACUUCCUGAGGCUGUAGAUGUGAUCAUUUCCGAACCAAUGGGAUACAUGCUGUUCAAUGAACGGAUGCUAGAGAGUUAUCUUCAUUCCAAAAAAUGGCUAAAAUCAAAUGGAAUGAUGUUCCCGACAUUCAGCGACAUCCACUUGGCCCCUUUUUCUGAUGAACAGCUCUACGUGGAACACUUCUCCAGAGCCAAUUUUUG
RNAcentral lists this non-coding RNA (269 nucleotides) under Homo sapiens (human). The record is from RNAcentral. Lineage: Eukaryota; Metazoa; Chordata; Mammalia; Primates; Hominidae.